RNAcentral lists this long non-coding RNA (317 nucleotides) under Solanum tuberosum (potato). Its description in RNAcentral is "long non-coding RNA (STUB_LNC001856)". Lineage: Eukaryota; Viridiplantae; Streptophyta; Magnoliopsida; Solanales; Solanaceae. The record is from RNAcentral.
UACACACAGAGUUUAUAGCAUGUUUUAAACAGUCUUUCUUUAUAUCGCACUUGUUUUAAAUUGCCUUAUAUUGAAAGAAGUCAGUCAGGUUGAGUUGAGUUGAGCCAGGUAAGCUAUUCAGUUUCUUCCAGAUCUCCAGAUCUCCUGCUAACCUUUGUUGCUUAGUUCCAGCUCGCAUACUCGUACAUUCCAUGUACUGAUGCCAGUUGGCCUGCAUCUUAUUAUGAUGCAGAUACAGGUACCCCGGAUCAGCAUCCUGCACGUCGUUGAUCCAGCUGAGCACUCCAGAGUCUGUGGUGAGCCUCCUUGCAUUCCGG